CAUUAUAUUUACUUCUCUUAUUCUUUCUCUCACUUCAUUAUUUUUCUCCCUCAUUUCUCUUUCUUAUUCAUAGUGAAAGUGCUUGUUAUUAUUGUCCUAAUUCUUCAUGUACAUCUGAUCCACACAUACGCUAUCAUUCAGUUGGCUCUUAUGAAUAUAACACUAUAAAUGAUAAUUUGAAGUGUCAUUAUUGUGGACUGAUUUUAAUUGAAGAUGUUAAACAAAGAAUAUUAUCAGAUAAGUUAUUAAUAUCACUGGUGCCUACUGAUGUAUUGUAUCCUGUUAGUGGCUCAAGCUAUCAAGGAUUUACUGUUAUACUAAGAGAUGAUUUGUGCUCAGUGGUAGAGAUUGGUGGUG
Long non-coding RNA from Amphimedon queenslandica, 357 nucleotides. RefSeq lists it as uncharacterized. The transcript has 4 exons. Lineage: Eukaryota; Metazoa; Porifera; Demospongiae; Haplosclerida; Niphatidae. The record is from RefSeq and is a predicted model, not a curated record.